GAUGAACGCUGGCGGCGUGCCUAAUACAUGCAAGUCGAGCGAACGGACGAGAAGCUUGCUUCUCUGAUGUUAGCGGCGGACGGGUGAGUAACACGUGGAUAACCUACCUAUAAGACUGGGAUAACUUCGGGAAACCGGAGCUAAUACCGGAUAAUAUUUUGAACCGCAUGGUUCAAAAGUGAAAGACGGUCUUGCUGUCACUUAUAGAUGGAUCCGCGCUGCAUUAGCUAGUUGGUAAGGUAACGGCUUACCAAGGCAACGAUGCAUAGCCGACCUGAGAGGAGGAUCAGCCAAACGGGGAGCGAGACACGGCCCAGACUCCUACGGGAGGAAGCAGUGGGGAAUAUUAGACAAUGGGGGCAACCAUGAUCUAGCAAUGACGCGUGAGUGAUGAAGGGCUUAGGGUUGGAAAGCCCUGGCAGCGGGGAAGAUAAUGACGGUAACAGCAGAAGAAGACACGGCUAACUCCGUG
Molecule: ribosomal RNA, 472 nt
Filed under: uncultured bacterium
Lineage: Bacteria
Description: partial 16S ribosomal RNA
Rfam family: Bacterial small subunit ribosomal RNA
Source: RNAcentral